RNAcentral lists this long non-coding RNA (625 nucleotides) under Mytilus galloprovincialis (Mediterranean mussel). Lineage: Eukaryota; Metazoa; Mollusca; Bivalvia; Mytilida; Mytilidae. The record is from RNAcentral.
CAAUAAACGAACAUAAAUUAGAUUUGGGUUAUGUUACUGUAGAUAUAAUUGAUUGACAAUAUUCAGACACUAGAAAGCAUGGUUAUCUUCUAAGGAAGUGCAGUUUAAAUAUUUUAAAAAAGUUGUCUCUGUUAUUCGGCUUUUGCAUCAUUCGGUAGAAUUCAUUUUUUCACCAUCAAGGUUUUAUAAAUUGUGUUUGACCCCUUUUCCCUGUCCUUAGCAUCCAUAUUUUCUGAAGCAUAAUAUCAUCGUUAAGAACUUAAGAUCUAAAAUACACCAUCCCAUAAAAUGAAGUAUACAAUAGACAAUAUCCUGUAAAUAAAACAAUGAUAGAAUAUCCCUAUCUUGCCUUAAACAAGUCAAAUAACCUCAUGCAACGCAGAAUCAUUUUUAAUUAUCGACUUAUUAUAACAUAUUAAAACGUACCUAGGAUAAUUUGGACUUUCUUAUUAAAAGAUAUUUUCGCCGUCCGCCUCUUGACCAUCAAAUCAUUGCAUAUCACGAUUAUAUCAUUUGCUGUAAAAUUCUAAUAAAUAUGAUACAAACAUUAAAGGAGAAAAUUGAUAUUCGUUGGUACAUGUACACAUAACAAAAAAUCUCACGAAUGCAAGGAAUUUAACAAAAC